This is a long non-coding RNA of Mytilus californianus (California mussel), 1731 nucleotides long. RefSeq lists it as uncharacterized. NCBI's taxonomy places the organism in Eukaryota, Metazoa, Mollusca, Bivalvia, Mytilida, Mytilidae. The record is from RefSeq and is a predicted model, not a curated record. The transcript has 2 exons.
UCUUGACUGCCGCGAUUGAGUGCAUGCGGGCUCUGUAACAGUUGAUUGUCUUUAAAUGACACGAAACGACGCCUCAGUUUAUGCUGUCAUUUUUUUUUUUCAAUUUAUAAAUCGAUGAAAUGACUCAAGAAAUUAAAAACCCGCGUCAUCAAAAAAUUCCCCGUUUUAAAAGCUUUUUGAUACUGAAUAAGAUCGGAUAACACAUCAAACCGAAUAAGAAAUACUAAAUGCAAUAUAGGAAAUACCAACGGUAAAACUGGACAAAGUCAACCAGGAUAUGUCAGAAAAGAAAACGCCUUUGUGACGAGCUUGAUUUCCUGCAAUUUUGUGAAGUGUAAACACCAUGAGCGAGGAAAAUUGCCAUGCAACCAAAAAAAAUUAAAAAGACCAUGCAUACGGAGAAAGUGUUUUUUGUUUUUUUGUUUUUUUUUAAUAGGAAUUUUCCGGGUCACAUCAAACAACCUCCUUGAUGACAGUCAAACAUGGCGGACUUCUUUAGCCAACCACUAAAGUUCAGACACUAUAGUUUUGUCAGUGACUACACCAAAGAGCAUAAUACCAAGAUUCAUCAACAAAGUUACUGUUCAAUACAUUCAAAUAUGAGACACACUCUGAAAAUCUUGCAGACAUGUUUUCUUAAAGUGCUAAGAGAGAUCGCAACCAUUAUGCACAUCAUUGACGAAUCUUGAAAAAUAACAAUUACAUUGAACGUACAUGGCUCAUAUAACAUUGGUCAUCGUGGAAAUAAAAGGAAACUAUGAUGAAAAUCUGAUUCGUGCAAGCAGGUGGAAUCAAAUGAUACAAAUAUUAAACGCAGAAGAAGAAAAAAACUAUAUACUGCAAUUUUUAAAGAGGAUAAACUUAGAUCAACAGGAAAGUUCCCUUUGAUUAUAUUUAUUAUUAUUAAUUAUUUUUGUUUAUAUUCAGAAUACUGUUUUUUGUGUGAAUUUAUAAAUAGAUAAUGUUGUUUUUUGCUACUUGUUAGUACCAACUUAACAAAAAGUAACAACACGUUUUAACAUGUUUCAGUGAAGAUUUGAUAUCAUAAUUGUUUUAUUCUAAAGUCUGUUAUUCUCUUUUGUGGGUUAAUAUGCCUAGAAUAUCAAGCAUCUACCAAAAAAGUUCCUCCUAUUAUUUUUUAAGGAAAAAUCUCAAGUCAAUUGAAUUCCACAAUUAAAUAAAGCUACAUAUAAGGGCUAUAUUUUAUUUAGUUAGUUAAAAUAUUUUACAGAAUAACAUCUUUGCAAAUAAGAAAAUGUUUUAAAAAAAAAUCGGGAAAUUUUUAAAUAGGUGUAUUAAUCUAUGUUUUUUAUCUUUAUUUUGUCUAGAUUUUUUAUGUUUUUGAUUUAUUCAUGUCACAUUUAUUUUUUACAACUUAAUAAUAAUAAUAAUAAUAAUUAUAAUAAAAAUGAUAAUGAUAGUAAAAAGUAAAUUUUGUAUACGUUGUGAGUUACUUUGCUUUGAUUCAUAGAUCAAUAUUCUUAUACUAUAAAGUUUGAUAAAAUAUGAUGUUUUUUUCAAAAAUAAUUUCAAGUUUAACAGUUAAGCAAAAUUGGAGACCAACUCAAAUCCAAGAUAUUCUUUUAAUGAAAAUUUUUGGAAAGAGCAAAUAAGUUUGUUUGCAAUGAUAUUUAUGUACACAUGAACAUUUUUUUUUUCUGUUUUUCAACCCAGUAGUAGAUGUACUAGUGGAGCAUAUUUGGAUACAAAUUAAAACAAGAGGAAAUUAAA